Molecule: long non-coding RNA, 1020 nt
Organism: Rosa rugosa (rugosa rose)
Lineage: Eukaryota; Viridiplantae; Streptophyta; Magnoliopsida; Rosales; Rosaceae
Exons: 2
Source: RefSeq, a predicted model, not a curated record
ACUAAGUCAAGGCCCUCUCAGUAUCUGGUGGAAAGAAAUUCAAAUUUAAUUCGAGAGAUACAAAGUAUUUAUGCAGUUGUGGUUGCAUAGAUCUUAAUUUUAUUUUAUCUUUUCUAAAAAAAAAUUAAUUUUGGGGUUAGUAUUGGAAUAUUUUGUUUAAUUUUUUUUCUGUAGGGUGAACUAAGCAUUUGGUAAGGUGACAAUAACAGCACUAUUUUUUAUUUUUCUCUUUUUGCAGGAGGUUAUCAAAAUGUUCACAUUAGAAUUUGAUUCUACUUGCAAUCUCAUUGUAAUUUCAUGCAUGGUACUUCUUUUCUUCUUCAAAUGAUGUGAUGAGCAUGAGAGAGAUUUUUUCUCUCUCUGAAACCCCUCCGUGCCUUGAGAGUCAGUGGCAUUACCCACCCUUUAUGGGUGCUUGCCUGAGCUAUGUCUCAGCUUCCAUGAGCUAUGUCUCAGAUCUGAGGCUUUUGCCUUUUGCUUCAUCUAUUUUUUUCUCCUCCGGUCUCCUUCCCUUCUCCUUCCAUCUUGCCCCAUUUUUCUGUCUGUAUCUUAGCCCCAAAUUUUCUCUAACUCAUUCCUCACCACCCAUCACCUUCUUGUACCCACCAUCUCUCAUCUCCAGAUCUUGUUGCCUAGAUUUUUUCUUUUCCUUUUCAAAUCGGUACUAUGGCUUGGUUCUUGCAGUGACUCCUCUCAAACGCGAUUUCUCGCGUCUCACUCGGAAGAUAGGGUUAUUUUGAUCGGGCUUUGGUGUAGGGGUCUCUCUUCAAACUGCAAUUUUGGAGUCCCAUGUAUGGAUUCAGCUACGAUGGCCAUGGUGGACGUUGGUGGUGCUAGAUCUGUGGCGGAUGAAGACAAGGAGAAGUUUAGAAUUAGGGUUUUCUUUUGUUUGUUGUUUUCUGUUGGGCCUUCUACUGUUUGUUUGGGCUCCGACUUUUGUGUAUUUAUUUAUCUUUUCGGCCUUUUUAUUAGGUUUUGUAUCGUUUAUUUUAGAAUGCCUACUAAAUCAAGAUUUAUUGA